This 1021-nucleotide long non-coding RNA is filed under the name Mus musculus (house mouse). Its description in RNAcentral is "predicted gene, 42397". Lineage: Eukaryota; Metazoa; Chordata; Mammalia; Rodentia; Muridae. The record is from RNAcentral.
GUUAACAUGGAAGAAAUAGUCAUACAAUAGUCAUUGUAUGGUUGGGACAAAGUGACACUCACUAAUAACCCUGUUGGAGAGAUGGAGCUAGAUUGGAGUGCUGAUAGUCCAGGUUGAGUGUUUCAGCACAUUUUAAGAUGAAUCAUUGGGAGUAGAAUGACUUUGUGUGAAGCAGCAAUGGAAGGAGUAUUUGUCUACGAAUACCGAAAACACUCAAAUCACUUAGAAGUGAUUUUGAUAACCAACAUGACAGCUGGAGUCAUGGAAGAUAAUUUAUUUUACCCAAGGACUUCUCUUCUAAUGCAUAGGUUCCAUGACUCCGAUAUGAAAUGUGGAGAGAGGAAUCCGAGUCUACCAAGAUGUCUUCUGAACUCUACAUGCCUGCUGUGGCAUGCAUUCCUGCACACCACACACACACACACACCCCACAUUCAAACAUUCCCUAGUUGUCCCAGAUCUUUCCUCUUUGCCAUGGCAAGGUGGAUGAGGGAAAGAAUCAGCAACCCUUGUUCUUAGCUAACGGCAGGCCACUAGAGCUGACCAAGAAAUAAUGAGCAAAGAAUGAAAUACAGUACAUUACUAAUUGUUCCAAAACUUGGUGGGAAAUUGCCAUAUAACUCAAGAAGAUAAAUGUCUCUUGGAAUUGUUUUGCUUGGAGAAGCCAUAAAGAAGCAAAAUAGGAUGGCAUCAGACUACAGAGAGUAAGUCUGCAUGACUAUAAACAUAUACGCAUAUGGGCAAGGCAGGAAAACCAGAAGUGACGUCUGGCCUGGUAAGAGUCAGGCUCCUAGGGAAAUAUAACUAUAGUGGAUAGUGAGAGUGGAUAGUGGUCAUUUAAAAUACCAUGGGGAAAUGAAUUGUCAUUUUUGAUCUCAGUAUUUAGGGAAGGAGAAUCAUUGAGAAAAACACAUGUGAAAUUUAAAAGAUAAAUUGAGUUCAAGAAAAGACAGGCUAGGAAGGAAUACUUUGUGUUUGAUGUCUUAGAAAUAGUUAAUCCUUUUUCAAAAGAUGGAAAAUGACU